This 499-nucleotide ribosomal RNA is filed under the name uncultured Lachnospiraceae bacterium. Its description in RNAcentral is "bacterial SSU rRNA". It matches the Rfam family "Bacterial small subunit ribosomal RNA", at positions 8 to 507 of the family's 1533-position model. Lineage: Bacteria; Bacillati; Bacillota; Clostridia; Lachnospirales; Lachnospiraceae. The record is from RNAcentral.
AGAGUUUGAUCCUGGCUCAGGAUGAACGCUGGCGGCGUGCCUAACACAUGCAAGUCGAACGAAGCAUGCCGGAGGAAGUUUUCGGAUGGAAUCCGGGAUGACUGAGUGGCGGACGGGUGAGUAACGCGUGGGUAACCUGCCCUGUACAGGGGGACAACAGUUAGAAAUGACUGCUAAUACCGCAUAAGCGCACAGGACCGCAUGGUCCGGUGUGAAAAACUCCGGCGGUACAGGAUGGACCCGCGUCUGAUUAGGUAGUUGGCGGGGUAACGGCCCACCAAGCCGACGAUCAGUAGCCGACCUGAGAGGGUGACCGGCCACAUUGGGACUGAGACACGGCCCAAACUCCUACGGGAGGCAGCAGUGGGGAAUAUUGCACAAUGGGGGAAACCCUGAUGCAGCGACGCCGCGUGAGUGAAGAGGUAUUUCGGUAUGUAAAGCUCUAUCAGCAGGGAAGAAAAUGACGGUACCUGACUAAGAAGCCCCGGCUAACUACGUG